RNAcentral lists this transfer RNA (73 nucleotides) under Schizocephala bicornis. RNAcentral describes it as "tRNA-Val". The record is from RNAcentral. Lineage: Eukaryota; Metazoa; Arthropoda; Insecta; Mantodea; Mantidae.
UCAGGUUAAGCUUAAAAGAUGAGAUUUUCAUUUACACUGAAGUUAUAAAUCGUGCAAUUCGAUUUAAUCUGAA